Acinonyx jubatus (cheetah) is the source of this 7034-nucleotide long non-coding RNA. RefSeq lists it as uncharacterized. NCBI's taxonomy places the organism in Eukaryota, Metazoa, Chordata, Mammalia, Carnivora, Felidae. The record is from RefSeq and is a predicted model, not a curated record. The transcript has 4 exons.
CUCUCUCUCUCUCUCUCUGAAGAACAAAUAAACUUAAAAAAUUUUUAAAAACUACUGGUAUAGUAAACAUGAUAUAUACAUGGUACACUGGAAAGUACUUGUGCUAGUUUACUAAGGCUGCCUAAGCAAAAUGCCAAACACUGAGUGGCUUAAACAAUAGAAAUUUAUUGUCUCUUGUUCUGGAGGCCGGAAGUCCAAGAUCAAGUCGCCGAUAGGGCAAUGCCCCUCUGAAGGGUCUAGGGAUAACCCAUUCCAGGUCUCUCUCCCAGCCUCUGGUAGUUAUGCAGGCUUGUGUUGGCAUAACUCCUAUCUUCACGUGCUGCUUUCCCUGUGUUUGUGUGUGUGUCCACGUUUCCCUUUUAGGACACCAGUCCUACGGGAUUAAAGUCCACCCUAAUGACCUCAUUUUAACUUGAUCACCUCUGUCAAGGAUCCUUCUGUAAAUAAGGCUACAUCGACAGGUACUGGGAGUUAGGACUCCAAGCAUAUUUUGGGUGGGGGCACCAUUCAACCCACAAUAGUAGUCAAGCACGGAUUUUCAUUCUGUUCUGUUCCUCCUUAACUGUGUGGCCUUAAGUUGACACUUAACAGCCUCCGUUCUAAGUCCAAAAAAAUAAGGGGGUUGAACCAUGGAAUCUGUGAGAUUUUCUCUCUCAAAUUCUAGGACUUCACAAAUACUGUUUCUGACCUUUCCACUAGUGGGGUCAAUCUCUAAUUUUUUUUUUAAUGGUUUCUUUAUGUAUAAGGGAAGCUGGUUAGAAUUGGCUUGUUAAUAGCAGUAGCUACUUUUUUUAAAAAAGAAAUUACAGUAUGCCAGGAAUUCCAAUAGGAGCUUUACGUAUUUUACUUAACUCUCAAAAAAGUCCCGCAAGAUAUUUAUUCGAAUCUUCAUUUGAUAGUUGAGGUGUCCAAGGUACAAAGAGCUUCCCUCACUGGUUAAAAUUCAUGGUAUUGGCAAGUGGCGGAAUGGGCUAUGAGUCCACAUCUUUAUGAACCUAGAGCUGGUGUUCUUUAUACUUCUCCACCUCUUUGUGAAGAUGAUCGCCCCUUAGACAGGUGGCCUAAGGUCUGACCUUUUGGCACUGAGUUCUUAUGACCCUGAACCCCCAUACAACCUCUGUUCCGUAUCCCAUUCACUCACCGAGAGGCUUAUCUUUCUGCUCCUCUAAGCAUCAGAUGAAGCCAGUUAAGUUGCCUUAUUCUCAAAGGAGAUCCAACCACAAGAGAUCUCUGGGACACCCUUUGGAGGAAUCCAUGGCCCUUCGGUGUGUCUAUAAUUUUUGUGUCCCAGAAAACAUUUGGAUUUGUGAACUGUGGUUAAGAUCAUGGAACUCAUGAAGUUUAAAAGAGGCUCACGUUAGUAUAGAUGAUCCGUAUUUUCUUGCUUUUAGGGGAACUCAGAAACCUUUCUCCUAAUUACUCAUGAACUUGGUUACCAUGUAGCUGCUGCCAUUUUAUUUUUUUAAUGCUGUGAAGCUGCUUCCAUUGCCAUCCAAGAACCCUGGAGGGCCUCUGUACCCCAGGAGUGAGGGCUGUCUCCGUUCCCAGGUCCACUCCCUUGGGUGCCAUCUUCUCUGCUUGAGCUGAUGACACAGUGGAACCCUUAGGGGCCACAGCUGUGUAGUUUUCUGUGGCAAGAAUUCCUCUUUUCAGCUAGACUUGUAAUUCGUGGAAGGUAGCUGAAGCAGUGGUGCCCUUGCCUUAAUGCCUUAGAUAUCUUUAGUGACAGACAGCCCCCAUUUCUGGUUAUGGUCUCUGUACCAUAUGGUCUCUAUACCAGGCUGGGCUGGGCUGGGCUAAAACCAGGUACCAAGGUCUACUCAAGAGUCAUUUCUCACUGAUGACUGAGGGUUGCCUAUUGGGCUGUCUUCUUGCUGGGAAGCUCUUUGGUUGCUCACUAACAUGGGUUCCUGGUGACCCAGCAUCUCUAACCCCCAAUAUUUUACUCAUACUCAGAUGUCCCUCUUGGUGCUGGCAUCCAAGGAUAUUACAAAGGAUGCUAUUAAUUGUUUGGAGGAAGAGGUGAGGCCAUACUGUGAGAUGGCUGUAGCAGUUGGUAAUGGUACUAGAGGUUUUAUUUGGUAAUGUAUGUAGCUGAUGAUCUGGACCAACCCGCUUCUGCUCUAAGCUCAUCUUCUUGUGCAAAGUACGAUUACCUACACAUGUGGUAGUGGAAAACUUUUGAGAAGGAGAUCCCAUGAAUAUGGAGCUACUAAUCAGAUAAGCAAGGAGGAGAAGUCCCAGGAAAGAAGGCGCUGUUCCAUUGUAAACAGAAUUACAGUUUACCUGGAAUCUGUGUGUGAGUUUAUUCGUGGCAUUGGCUCACAAUGUGGGUCCGAGUUCUGUUUAUUACACUUCUUAUACGUUUGUUUGUCUUCCUCCACUUACCUGCUGGCAAGAAUUGUCCAGCUGGGAUUGUAAAGUUUAAUGAGCUUGGUCAGAAGUCGACAUUUUGGUCAAGUAUGAGAAUCUAACUAAUGUGAGAAUGUAACCUAGGAAGGUCUGAGGCUAAAAAUGUGAGAAUCUUUAGUAAAGCAAGAGGUAAGGAUUAGUCUCUCCCACAAGGGUUCUAUAUUCAGCUGGUGUCUGGUGUCUCAGCCCUAUAUCAUGGAUGAUUAUUAUUUAGUGGAGAAAAAGGCUUUUCUAUGGGCACUGCAUAUUCUGGGCCAUAGAAGACCCUUGCACUGAUGUCCGAGGGACUGCAGAGUGCCCAGCUUGUUGCUGGCUCUUUAUUACUGCCUUUGUUCUGUCAAUAAAGUGAUGGGGAAUGUGGGAAUUUUUACAUUGAUUAAGGAAAAGGCUUGGGCCAAGAUCUUUUCCUUUUAGGCAGUCUUGUAAAUUUUGUCUUCAUACACUAGUCAACAAACAUUUAUUUGAAUACUACCAUCUGAAAUCUAACAUCCAUCUGUUGGUGCCCUCUGGUAGCCAGGAAUCGGAGACUCUCCCACAUCCUUUCCCUAAAGUGUGCUCUGGGUUUAGACUGGGGUAGAUCUUACUCACUUCCUUUUCUGCUUCCUAUCUUUCCUCCUCCAAAAGCCACAGGCAUUUUUUUUUUUUUUUACUUAUUUGAUGGGUUACUUUUAGAAAUGUCUUGCACAAGCCAUUUUUUCCCCAGUGGAAAACACUUUUCCAUCAGGAAGAUGCAUUUCAAAGAUUCUGAAGAGUUUAACCACUUUUGUCAGAGCCCUCUUGGAAAGGUGAAAUUGAUAGUUCCAUAAGGUUAAAAAAAAAGGUUGUUUCCCCACUUCCUGUCUGAAAAGGGAUUCUUCUGGUUGAAUACGAUGAUAGGUUGGGUCAAGUGGCCUUCACUGAGGGUGGGCUGGAAUCUGCCCCCGGUUGGUCCUGGAAUCUUGGCCACUUUUAGGGCAGCCUAAGGAUAUGAAAUUGCUCUAGGAUUUGUAUGUGUGUGAGUGUGUGUGUGUGUGCGCUUUACAUGCAGUGGGUCCUUGGCCAGUUGGUGGUGAUGAUGAAUGAUGUUGAUAUAAAUGAAGUUCUAUUUGGUUCAGCUGAAGUUGGCUGCACUUCUCUGGGAAGGUCCCAGGUAACCCUUUCUCCCUGACUUCCCAGGAAUACCUGUUGGAGACCAUGAAUUCCUCUCUAGGGUCACAAUGGCCUGAGUUUAUUAUCCAUUUGGGUCCAAUCAGUCUCUAGGUAUCUCUGUUGGCCUUGGUUCAUGGGUUAGCGGACAUACAGUCAGUGGGUAAUGGGAAUGGAAGCCUUAAACCAUAUACCCUUGUAGGUCUAAUCCAAGACUUUCAUUUUGUUGAUGAGGAGACCAAGGCCCAGUAAGUAGGAGGAACUUGAGUGAAAUUUGGAAUCCAGAUGUUCUGACUCAUGGUUCAAGUCAUUGUCUGCUACUUUGGGGGUCCUCAGAUGGCAAUGAUCUUAAUUGCCGGGUGCUUAUUAACCAUGCAGAUUCCUGGGGCACUUCUCUGAGAUUCUGAUUUUAAUAAAUACUUGUGGUCAACACUGUACACUCAAGAUAUAAUGUGAGCCAUAUAUGUAAUUUAAAUUUUUCUGGUGGUCACACUAUAAAAAUAAAAAGAAACAAGGGGAAUUUUAAGAAUAUAUUUCAUUUAAUCUAAUAUAGCCAAUUUACUGCUGUAACACAUGUAUCUAUAAAGUUAUUAAUGAGUUAUCUGACUUUUUUGCUACUAACUCUUAGAAAUUUGGUGUGUAUUUUACACCUAUAGCAUACCUUAAUUUGGAUGUCACAUUUCAAGUGUGAGAAGCAAGUAGCUAGUGGCUUUCAUAUAGGAUAUGAGAUAUAUAGGGUAUAGGAUGUAGGAUAGUGCCGAUCUAGAAUUGUUCCUUGCCAGUCAUUGGGGCUCUUCAUAAAAGGCAUACCAACAAAAUAAAUAACUCCCCAGGUGCUAGACUCAAGUGUCUAGCAUUCAAAAUCCAAGUACCCCCCACCCCGCCCCAAGCCUUGUUAAACUUUGUGGGCUGCGGCACUUUAGUAGAUGGGAUAUGUUUACACAGAAAAUAUGCAGGAACCCACUGGCUGUCAGAUGACACAGACAUCUUGAGGCCACACGCCUCUCAUGUACCACUGAGCAUGUGAGUUUGCACAUGUAGACUAUUGUGCAAGCGCUGGGAACUGUAUGUGCUGAAGGCACAGGCACCCUGUGAAGUGUUUCAGUGGAAUUUUCAACCAGAAGCAGCUGAUCAUUUUCCAAUUUAAUCUGUGAACACAGUUGGGGGAUUUUUGCACAUGAAUCAACUUGUUUGGCUUGACAGAGCUUCUCUGUACUCUGUCCCUGUCUCAGCCUCACAAAAGGUACUCUGUGUGUAAAUUUGCAGGGGUGGUGGUGGAAGAAGGUGCAUGGAAGUUCAAGGGAAACUUUUCUGAAAAAUGCAACACUGGAGAGCCAGGGUGGAAACGCAGGAGGGGUCCCUAAUCUGACUUUCCACUCUCCCCACCAGAGGUGCUUUUCAAGGGUUGAGGGUGGAAAAGCAUUUGAAAUCCAGCUAAUAAGAUAGAAGCACACAUUUCUGUACAUGUGUUGAUGUAAUUAUUGGUUAAUUAUUUCUGAGGAAUGGUUAUGAAGAUACCAGUGGUAAACCUGGGUCUGGUCAUUCUGUUUCAUCUGCCUUAUGCUUCAUUUUGAUAAAAGAAAAAGUGAGUCAUCAGAAGGAAAUGGGGUAUUUUGUGCAUGGUCUAUACUUCAAAGGCUGUCAUGUUGUGUUGUGUAGCCACUUUGGUGGCAUUGACUUAUGAGGCAUCGUGUGAUGCUGGAGAGUGAAAGAGGGUGAGAACCCAGAGUACAAAAUAAUAAUAGCAAUGUCAUAACAAGAACAACCACCAACAUUUACCAAGCAUUGAUUAUGUCUCAGACCCUUGAUAUGGAUGUGCUCAUUCAAUCCUUGCAAUAACUCUAGAAGUAGGCACUGGUAUUUGUCUUCAUUUUCCAUUGGGGAAAUGGGGGGCACAGAGAGGUUAGCUACUUUGCCCAGGUCAUCUAGCUGGUAAGGAACAGAACUGGGGUUAAACCCAGGUGGACCGUUAGUUCUCACCCAAAAGACCACAACCUGUUACCCUUGAGAUACUCCUUAAAUGUCUUCCCACCACCUUCCCAUCAAAGCAACAAUCUCUUUGACCUUCCAAGCAGGCAGCUGUCUGGCCCCCACUUGAAUGCAUUGAGAAGUGGGAGUUCAUUGUUUUGGUGGAAGCUCAUGCCUUUUAUGAAAAGCCCCAAUGGAUUGGGAAAUUCUUCUUUAUAUGAAAUCUCCCUCCUAUGAUUAGCAAAAUUUGUCUUCCCCCCAGUGUUCUUGCAGACUUCCUGAAGCUGCAAUAAUACAGAAUUACACAUGACGGGACUUAUAUCUCUAUGUCUAUUAAUAUAAUUGGAGAUUAAUUACUUUGGAAGAGUAGUUGUAAGGAUACCAAUUGUUUAAAUCUACAUUUCACUGUUCUUUUUCAUCUGCCUUCUGCCUCAGCCCAUGGAAUGACUUAUUCCAUGACCUGUUACAGAUCUCAGGAGAUCCUGCCUUCAUACCUUUGCUCAUGCUGCCUGGGAGAGCCUCCCUUCCACCUGUUCACAGCCAAGCUCUCUGAGCCUGAGCUCUCUCUGCCAUGAAGUCUUCUUUGAACCAUGAAAGAAGCUGCUGGAUGGAGAUGAAUGAGCUUUUGUUUCUGAAAAGCUGAAUUUUUAUUUCUUAGCUGAUAUAUAUGGAGUCAGAACUCUUCCAUGUUGAAGACUCUGACUGAAGCCCAGGGAAGUUAUUAUGCAAGACAAUCUCCUUCUGACCAGCUUUCUAGAACUUUGAACAGAGCUGAACACAGAGACUUGAAGAAACUUGGUUGGAGGUAGAGUUGCUCCACGCUGACUGAACCCUAAAAGGGCCCUGCUGAGAGCUUGAGAGGAAAACACCAGCACUUUGGGAGAAGCAUCUGAAUAGGUUCACAGUGGGAGCCCACAAAAGAGGAGCUGCGCAGCCCAGGGAGCUGGUGAGAGCACAGAGAUUGCUACCCAGGCUAGUGAACAAACCUCAAGACCAUCAAGGGCGAGGAUCCAGAUCUGGCCGUCAAAACAACAAAUUCCAGAGAAGUUUUGAAAGUGAAGAUCAGCAACGUCUUAUCAUCUGGUUUUGCCCCCAUCUUUAAAACCUAGUAAUUGUACCCCCACAUGGUGUAUGAGGUGGGAUGGCUGUUUGUCCAGCCCAGUCCUGCCAUCGUCUUAUUGAUUUGCUCCACUGUGCUGCUUCCUGGAUCUGAACUCGUCACCUGUUCUCCCUACGUUUAAGGGGCAGCCCAGAGUCUUUAGCUGGUGUUCAAAACCAUCUAAAAAAUGGGUCAGACUUACUCUUGCAGGCUGCUGUCUCCUAUUCCUCCAACAUAACCAGAAUGCUUUUCCUUCUUUGCUCUCAUCCGAUAGAAACUUUGCCCAGACUCAAAUACCCUCUCACAUCUCACCACCUCCAAAAAAGCUUCCCAGAUCACCCAAAAUAGAUGAGACCAUACUGUCUUUUAUAUCUCUGAGGGGUCUCUGGCUUGUCACUUUCAUGACACUCAGUCCAUGCCAUCUAGUGCU